UCCCAGGAUGAUAACCUGCGCCUAGACAACCU
This 32-nucleotide non-coding RNA is filed under the name Mus musculus (house mouse). Lineage: Eukaryota; Metazoa; Chordata; Mammalia; Rodentia; Muridae. The record is from RNAcentral.